UACGGAGGGUGCAAGCGUUGUCCGGAUUUAUUGGGUUUAAAGGGUGCGUAGGCGGCCUGUUAAGUCAGUGGUGAAAUCCUGCAGCUCAACUGUAGAAUUGCCAUUGAUACUGACGGGCUUGAAUUCAGGCGAGGUAGGCGGAAUUGACGGUGUAGCGGUGAAAUGCAUAGAUAUCGUCAAGAACACCGAUUGCGAAGGCAGCUUACUAGACUGACAUUGACGCUGAGGCACGAAAGUGUGGGGAUCAAACAGG
RNAcentral lists this ribosomal RNA (253 nucleotides) under uncultured bacterium. Its description in RNAcentral is "partial 16S ribosomal RNA". It matches the Rfam family "Bacterial small subunit ribosomal RNA", at positions 524 to 776 of the family's 1533-position model. The record is from RNAcentral.